Molecule: ribosomal RNA, 402 nt
Filed under: uncultured bacterium
Lineage: Bacteria
Description: bacterial SSU rRNA
Rfam family: Bacterial small subunit ribosomal RNA
Source: RNAcentral
UGGGGAAUAUUGCACAAUGGGCGAAAGCCUGAUGCAGCAACGCCGCGUGAGUGAUGAAGGCCUUCGGGUUGUAAAGCUCUGUCUUCUGGGACGAUAAUGACGGUACCAGAGGAGGAAGCCACGGCUAACUACGUGCCAGCAGCCGCGGUAAUACGUAGGUGGCAAGCGUUGUCCGGAUUUACUGGGCGUCAAGGAUGCGUAGGCGGAUACUUAAGUCAGAUGUGAAAAUCCCGGGCUUAACUUGGGAACUGCAUUUGAAACUGGGUAUCGAGAGUGCGGGAGAGGAAAGUGGAAUUCCUAGUGUAGCGGUGAAAUGCGUAGAGAUUAGGAAGAACACCAGUGGCGAAGGCGACUUUCUGGACCGUAACUGACGCUGAGGCAUGAAAGCGUGGGGAGCAAACA